GAAAAUGAGAGUUUGAUCCUGGCUCAGGACGAACGCUGGCGGCGUGCCUAAUACAUGCAAGUCGAGCGAGCUUGCCUAGAUGAUUUUAGUGCUUGCACUAAAUGAAACUAGAUACAAGCGAGCGGCGGACGGGUGAGUAACACGUGGGUAACCUGCCCAAGAGACUGGGAUAACACCUGGAAACAGAUGCUAAUACCGGAUAACAACACUAGACGCAUGUCUAGAGUUUGAAAGAUGGUUCUGCUAUCACUCUUGGAUGGACCUGCGGUGCAUUAGCUAGUUGGUAAGGUAACGGCUUACCAAGGCAAUGAUGCAUAGCCGAGUUGAGAGACUGAUCGGCCACAUUGGGACUGAGACACGGCCCAAACUCCUACGGGAGGCAGCAGUAGGGAAUCUUCCACAAUGGACGAAAGUCUGAUGGAGCAACGCCGCGUGAGUGAAGAAGGGUUUCGGCUCGUAAAGCUCUGUUGGUAGUGAAGAAAGAUAGAGGUAGUAACUGGCCUUUAUUUGACGGUAAUUACUUAGAAAGUCACGGCUAACUACGUGCCAGCAGCCGCGGUAAUACGUAGGUGGCAAGCGUUGUCCGGAUUUAUUGGGCGUAAAGCGAGUGCAGGCGGUUCAAUAAGUCUGAUGUGAAAGCCUUCGGCUCAACCGGAGAAUUGCAUCAGAAACUGUUGAACUUGAGUGCAGAAGAGGAGAGUGGAACUCCAUGUGUAGCGGUGGAAUGCGUAGAUAUAUGGAAGAACACCAGUGGCGAAGGCGGCUCUCUGGUCUG
RNAcentral lists this ribosomal RNA (775 nucleotides) under Lactobacillus johnsonii. RNAcentral's name for it is "bacterial SSU rRNA". It matches the Rfam family "Bacterial small subunit ribosomal RNA", at positions 1 to 736 of the family's 1533-position model. The record is from RNAcentral. Lineage: Bacteria; Bacillati; Bacillota; Bacilli; Lactobacillales; Lactobacillaceae.